CGUGCAGGUGGUCUUGUAAGUUGGAUGUGAAAGCUCCUGGCUUAACUGGGAGAGGUCGUUCAAAACUGCGAGACUUGAGAGUGGUAGAGGGAGGUGGAAUUCCGGGUGUAGUGGUGAAAUGCGUAGAUAUCCGGAGGAACGCCAGUGGCGAAAGCGGCCUCCUGGACCACUUCUGACACUCAGACGCGAAAGCUAAGGUAGCAAACG
RNAcentral lists this ribosomal RNA (207 nucleotides) under uncultured Anaerolineaceae bacterium. Its description in RNAcentral is "partial 16S ribosomal RNA". It matches the Rfam family "Bacterial small subunit ribosomal RNA", at positions 568 to 774 of the family's 1533-position model. Lineage: Bacteria; Bacillati; Chloroflexota; Anaerolineae; Anaerolineales; Anaerolineaceae. The record is from RNAcentral.